Molecule: long non-coding RNA, 4892 nt
Organism: Mus musculus (house mouse)
Lineage: Eukaryota; Metazoa; Chordata; Mammalia; Rodentia; Muridae
Product: predicted gene 9926
Exons: 3
Source: RefSeq, marked validated
GUCGCUUUUCUCUGAUUGCAGCGAGAGCAGGUGGUGCUUUCUUGCACUGUGAGAAGCACAGUCUGUUUCUUUGAUUUCAGAUGGGCUCCACAACUCGGGAGGGCGCUCAUCUCUCAGUCCUCUCUCUGCUGAGCAGUUACUGGGCCUAUCUUUCUCUCGAUGGAUAACAACCCUUGCGUUGCGGUUGCUAGAAGGCGGGACAUCUCUGCCUGGAAUAGGGCACCGUGGGAUGAAGGCUAUUAGGAGGAGAGUGGUCCUUGAGAAAGACCUAUCAUGAGAAGAAAGUACCCUGGUCUCAUCCAUCAAUUAUUCAUGAAAGCACGAGGUGUGUUUAUCUUAGUACCAGCAGACAACAAGAACUAAACUUGAGGAGGCUUCUGAAGAGUCACUGGAGUUGGGUGCCUGAAAAUCUGCACUUGAUUAUUAAGGAACAUCCAGCCAGGCAUGGUGGAUUUUCGUCCCUUUAAUCCCAAUGCUCAGGAGGCAGAGGCAGGCAGAUCUCUAUGAGUUCCAGCCAGCCUGGUCUGCGUACACCUUUCUAGGCCAGGCAGGGCUACAUGGUAAGCCCUUGUCUCAAAACAAAAACAACGACAAAGGAGAGACAAGAGAGAGGAACAUCCAGUCACUGGGAAUCCUAGCACUUAGGAGCAAGAGAACUGAGUUUGUGACUGUGUAACAAGAAAUGUGCUUUGCGCCUUAACCCAUCACGUUCUGCUGGCUCUCGUUUGUCUGUUCUGAGCCAAUAUUCACAUUUCCUGGAAGUUGAAACAUGUACCUUAUAGACUGACACAGUGGUGACUCCUGACUCAGAGUUACUGAAGGAUGGGAAGAGAUCUUUGUUCUUCUAAACUCUAUGACUCUGGGUGUUUGUUUGUAUGUCUGUGAAUCAAUCGCGUGCACGCUUGGUGCUGAGGAAGGAAGGAAGGCCAGAAGACACGAAAUCCCCUGGAACUGGAGUUGCAGAUGGUUGUGAGUUGCCAUGUGGCUGCUGAGACUCAAACCUGAAUCCUCUGUAAGACCAGCCAUUUCUUAACUACCGGUUCAUCUGUCCAGCCCUUAAGAUUUAUUUAUUUGUUUGUUUCUUGAGACAGGGUUUCUCUGAGUAGCAGCUCUGGUUGGCCUGGAACUUACUUUAUAGACCAGGCUGGCCUUGAACUCAGAGAUCCGAGUGCUUCUGCCUCCCAAGUGUUGGGAUGAAAGCCAGAAGAUGUGUCAAAUCUCCUGGAGCUGGAGUUAAAGGUAGUUGUGAGCCACUUGGCAUGGGUGCUAGGAACUAACCUUUAGUUACCCAGUCAUCUCUCCAGCUCCUGUCUCUAAGCAACAAUUAGAACGUGCACACAGCAAAAUGGUUCCAGCUGCCUUUGGGAAACAGCUCAAAGGCUGAAAUACUGAUAAGUCGGAGUCAUUAAAUGGUUUAUGGGAAGAAUAAAGCAGAGUUAGCUCAAGUUUCUCAGGAGUUCAAGUUCUCAUUCCCACUCCUCCACCCUCUUCCCUUUUUCCUUCCUUUCUUUCUGACAAGGUCUCAUGUAUACCACACUAGCCCCAAGUUUGCUAUGCAGUCAAGCCUUUGAACUUAUGACUCUCCUGCCUCUUGUUGAGUGCUGGGAUCUCAGACCCGUGCUCCCAUUCCUAGGGUGUGUAUUGCUGGGCAUUGACCCUAGGGCUUCAGGACAAUCACUUUACCAUACAGAACCCUCAAGUCUGUCUCUCUGUUAAGAUAUCAUUAUGUUGAUUGUUAAUAUUAUUUUAUUAAUAAUACACUGGUAAAAUACUGGAGUAUUUAAAAUAUGUGGACAGGAAACCCAUGCACGCAUUAAGCAAACAUCUACUGAUUGAUUGUCUACACAAUCUCCAUGUUUGGGACUUGUCAGACAAUCAUGUAGGCAUAAUCCCUGGCUUUAUGGAAAACAUGUUCUAACAGAAAAGACAGGAAACAAAGAGUUACCAGAGAGCUCGGUCCUGGGUAGACAACAGGUGACGGGGCCUUGUAUGGAAGCCCUGACUGUUCUGGUAGCCGGGACAGUAGUGGGCGGCUCCACAUGGUACAGGCACUGAGAGGUGGGUGGGGGAUUUUUGAAAGUAUCAGUGUUCUUAGCCUGAGGAGCCAGGUCAAAGGAGUGAAGAUAGAAAAGGAAGUAUCAAGAUCUGAGGAAGGACCUGAAGAUGGGAAAAAUUAAUUUAGAUAAAAAAAGUAUACAAGACUUGCAAACGUCUAAGAGAUUAAAUAGACUUCAUUUUGCCAUAUUUUGGUCAGAUUUUUUUUUCAAAAAUACUUUCAGAAAUAGACAAAGGAACUCUUAUUGAUCAUUUAAAUUUUUUUUUAAGAUUUAUUUUAUUUGUAUGAGUACACUGUAGACACACCAGAAAACGGUAUCAGAUCCCAUUUGUGAGCUACCAUGUGGUGGCUGGGAAUUGAACUUAGGACAUUUGGGAGAGCAGUCAGUGCUCUUAACCAGUGAGCCAUCUCUCCAACCCAAAUCAUUUACUUUUCUAACUUUAUGAAGACUGAUAAACAGCCUGCCGUGAUGGCACAUGCCUUUAAUUCCAGCACUCAGGAGGCAGAGGCAGGCGGAUUUCUGAGUCUGAGGCCAGCCUGGUCUACAAAGUGAGUUCCAGGACAGCCAGGGCUAGACUGAGAAACCCUGUCUCGAAAAACAAACAAACAAAAAAACAAAAACAAAAGACUGAUACUGAUGUGUCUAAUUGUUGCCCCUUCCCUUCCCCUCCCCUGUUCUUCCUCCCUUCCCUCCCUCCUCUUGCUUCUUGAGUUCUAGACACAAUGUUACACAAUGUUGCCAUGUUCGCAGGCCCCGCAGCCCAUGAACUUGCGAUCUUCUUGCCUCUGCCUUUUGAGUGUUAGAAACACAGGCUGGAGCCGCCACCUCUGGCUGCUGUCCUACGGGCUUGUUGAUGUAGGGGGGAGUGUUGAUACAGUUUGGUUUGAAGCUGCUUGCUUCUCUGAGGAACUCAAUUUACAAACUUGCUUCGUACCUCUGCAUAGUACUUCGCUGUUUUUUUUUUUUUUUUUAAUCGAGGUAAAUAAAUUAUAUGCUAAUUAUACCAUUUUAGGAGUCUGUAAGCGGGUGAGAACAUUGCACUUGGUGGUGGUGUGUAACCACCACUACUAACUAUAUUGAGAACGCUUUCAUUGUUCUUCAGAUAAACUCUGUCCCUGUUAGAAAAUAAUUACCCCCCCCCCCCCCACUAAACCCUGGGACCUUCUAUUCUACCUGUCUCCUCUGUCUCCUGUCUCCUCUGUCUCCGCAGUUGUUUUAAAAGGUGCUCCAUUUUAACGAUUUAUGUGACAUUUGUCCUCCUGUCUUUGUGAAUUUACUUACUACUAUUUUCAAGGUGCAUCUAUUUUGUUAUGUAUAUAACAUUUUCCUUUCUUCUGACUGAAUAACAUUAACGACAGGCUUUUGGUAGCAUAAAAACAUAACUGCAAUGGUCAGAGUGCGGGAACAAGACGGCGAAGGGCUGUGAGCAAAAGGCUAUGUCUCCGCCUUCCCUUUUCCAUGUUUGCCAUCCUCCCUAACACAAAGUUGUUUCCCCUAAAUUCUUUUCGAGGGAGUUUACGGACAUCGUGUGCAAGCUGUACUGAAUGUCAUCUGCCAGGGCAGGAACUUGUUCACUGUCAAAAUAUCAGGCCCCUGGAAGGUGGCCAGGCUCCCCGCUCCGAGUCGGAGCUGGUUGCCAGUGGUCUCUGCUGGCAGGCGGCGGGCAGGUGCAGACCAAAGGGGCAACUGGAUCGCUGGAGCAGCUGCGGCUUGCUGACCGGAAAUCGGGCCAGCCGAGCAGGGGGUUGGGAGGAAACCUUUUGGUAAUGGGUUCUGUAAUUUCCCUCCUAGGGUGGAAACAGCCUUGAAAAUGGCAGAGUCACAAAGGGAAAAGUGCACCUGGGCAAUUAGACCUUGGGCAGCUUUAUGUCUCAGGCUUCACAGGAUGGCUUCUGAAGUCUGAAAGACCCUGAUUCUGGACUAGCACAAUUUAAAGCCAGACGACAUGUCUUAGAAGAGAUACAGCAUCACCGCCCGGACUUCAUCCUUCUUCAGAAGAAUCAAUACAUAGACACGUUUUUCUCAAUAAUGCUUGUAACACAAGUUAUUUAUUUAUUUAUUCAUUCAUUCAUUCAUUCAUUCAUUAAUUUAUUUAUUUAUUUAUUGGCCAGGAGGAUUCUAAUUACAAUUCCCUUUCAUUCUUUAAAUUUUUAAUUUAGAUUUCAGGCUGUUUUGUGGAAGUCAGUGUGUGCCACUGUCCAGUUUACAGACACCUCUGUUGGUUUUCGCAGCUCUUGGCAUCGUGUUCACCGCUAAGUCAGGAAGCUAAAGCUGGGCAGAGCGGUGUAAACAGCAAAACUCCCACUCAGGCCUAGCGUUGCAAACGCCAGCGAGCAUAUUCUUACUCACUCUAGCCUCAGAUUAUUAGAAGGGAGCAAGACAGACAGGCGGCUGGAAGCCACCCUGUUAAACACAGGUCCGGAGAAACUGCCUGCGGCCAGGGCUGGUGAAACAUCUUCAAAGCCAGAAGACCCCCAUGCAUUUCUGAAAGGUUGCCUGUCGUUUCCUAUAAACAACCGUAUGCUCAAUGGCUUCAUAAAGGAAAGCCUUAUUAAAAAUAAACGAUUUGAAGAAGGGCGAUCUGGGAGGCGAUAUAAUCACAACUUUUCUAGACGGCUUGACUGGUCAAUGUGUUGGUUAAUUUUGCAACCACAUUCAACUGAAAGUUCAUGUCUGGGCUUCCUACCAGCAUCUCUUCCGUGAGGCUGCCUGAGAGCAGCGAGGUACUGCAUCCUAACAGCAAGACCUGUGUUAGCAGCAUGGUGUUAUUGGCUUGAAAAAUCCCUAGAGUUUCUGUAACCGGCAAGAAAUAAACAAAAAUAAAAUGUUGAGGCC